AGAGUUUGAUCCUGGCUCAGAAUGAACGUUGGCGGCGUGGAUUAGGCAUGCAAGUCGCGCGAGUACCCCGCAAGGGGGAGAGCGGCGAAAGGGACAGUAACACGUAGAUUACCUACCUCCAGGUUCUGGAUAGCUGCGGGAAACUGCAGGUAAUACAGAAUAACAUCUCCGGAUCAAAGGUGUGAUUCCGCCUGGAGACGGGUCUGCGUCCUAUUAGCUAGUUGGUGAGGUAACGGCUCACCAAGGCAAUGAUGGGUAGUGGGUGUGAGAGCACGACCCGCGUCACUGGGACUGAGACACUGCCCAGACACCUACGGGUGGCUGCAGUCGAGGAUCUUCGGCAAUGGGCGCAAGCCUGACCGAGCGACGCCGCGUGCGGGAUGAAGGCCUUCGGGUUGUAAACCGCUGUCAGAGGGGAUGAAAUACUGGUGGGUACUCCCAUCAGCUUGACAUAUCCUCAGAGGAAGUACGGGCUAAGUUCGUGCCAGCAGCCGCGGUAAGACGAACCGUACGAACGUUAUUCGGAAUCACUGGGCUUAAAGGGUGCGUAGGCGGCGCGGAAAGUUGGGUGUGAAAUCCCUCGGCUCAACCGAGGAACUGCGCCCAAAACUACCGUGCUCGAGGGAGAUAGAGGUGAGCGGAACUUAGGGUGGAGCGGUGAAAUGCGUUGAUAUCCUAAGGAACACCCGUGGCGAAAGCGGCUCACUGGGUCUCUUCUGACGCUGAUGCACGAAAGCUAGGGUAGCGAACGGGAUUAGAUACCCCGGUAGUCCUAGCUGUAAACGAUGAGCACUGGGUUG
This 800-nucleotide ribosomal RNA is filed under the name uncultured bacterium. RNAcentral describes it as "bacterial SSU rRNA". It matches the Rfam family "Bacterial small subunit ribosomal RNA", at positions 8 to 823 of the family's 1533-position model. The record is from RNAcentral.